RNAcentral lists this ribosomal RNA (138 nucleotides) under uncultured eukaryote. RNAcentral describes it as "partial 18S ribosomal RNA". It matches the Rfam family "Eukaryotic small subunit ribosomal RNA", at positions 1299 to 1458 of the family's 1831-position model. The record is from RNAcentral.
UGGUGGGUUGCCUUGUCAGGUUGAUUCCGGUAACGAACGAGACCUCAGCCUGCUAAAUAGUCACGUCCACCUCGGUGGAUGCCUGACUUCUUAGAGGGACUAUUGGCGUUUAGCCAAUGGAAGUGUGAGGCGAUAACA